GACGUAGGGGACGAGCGUUGUCCGGAUUUAUUGGGCGUAAAGAGCGUGUAGGCGGCCAGGUAGGUCGGUUGUGAAAACUGGAGGCUUAACCUCCAGACGUCGACCGAAACCAUCUGGCUAGAGUCCGGAAGAGGAGAGUGGAAUUCCUGGUGUAGCGGUGAAAUGCGCAGAUAUCAGGAAGAACACCCGUGGCUAAGGCGGCUCUCUAGUACGGUACUGACGCUGAGACGUGAAAGCGUGGGGAGCGAACAGG
RNAcentral lists this ribosomal RNA (253 nucleotides) under uncultured bacterium. Its description in RNAcentral is "partial 16S ribosomal RNA". It matches the Rfam family "Bacterial small subunit ribosomal RNA", at positions 524 to 776 of the family's 1533-position model. The record is from RNAcentral.